CAUUAACGAAUAAACCUGGCAGAUUGUAGCUGGCCCUUUCGAGGGUAUGUGCACAUCGGUCAUUUUUAUCUUUCCACCUGUGCACCUCAUGUAGACCUAGAGGAUUGGAACUGCAAGCUUAUCAAUCUGAGGUAAAACUCAGUCGUGAGGAGUUGUAGGCACUUCAAGUGUCAGCUCUCCUUGUUGUAGGCUCUGUUCUCUAGGAUCUAUGCUUUCACACACCCCAUUUAAAAAUCAUCAGAAUGUAUUCAAUGGGUCUUUGUACCUAUAAAAACUAUACAACUUUCAGCAACGGAUCUCUUGGCUCUCGCAUCGAUGAAGAACGCAGCGAAAUGCGAUAAGUAAUGUGAAUUGCAGAAUUCAGUGAAUCAUCGAAUCUUUGAACGCACCUUGCGCCCCUUGGUAUUCCGAGGGGCAUGCCUGUUUGAGUGUCAUUAAAUUCUCAACCUUACUAGCUUUGCUGGUCUGGCUUGGAUAUGGAGGUUUAUGCAGGCUCUCGAGUCAGCUCCUCUGAAAUGCAUUAGCGGUACCUCUGUGGUAUAACAGCUAUUGGUGUGAUAACUAUCUACGCCAUUAGUCAGUGCCACGCAUAUAAAGGGGCUAUGCUGCUGUCUAACAGUCUACUUGCUAGACAAUACUUGACAUCUUGACCUCAAAUCAGGUAGGACUACCC
Molecule: ribosomal RNA, 673 nt
Filed under: uncultured Basidiomycota
Lineage: Eukaryota; Fungi; Basidiomycota
Description: eukaryotic LSU rRNA
Rfam family: 5.8S ribosomal RNA (bases 281-434)
Source: RNAcentral